RNAcentral lists this ribosomal RNA (481 nucleotides) under uncultured bacterium. RNAcentral describes it as "partial 16S ribosomal RNA". It matches the Rfam family "Bacterial small subunit ribosomal RNA", at positions 28 to 507 of the family's 1533-position model. The record is from RNAcentral.
GAUGAACGCUGGCGGCGUGCUUAACACAUGCAAGUCGAACGAAGCACUUUAUUUGAUUUCCUUCGGGACUGAUUAUUUUGUGACUGAGUGGCGGACGGGUGAGUAACUCGUGGGUAACCUGCCUUGUACAGGGGGAUAACAGUUGGAAACGGCUGCUAAUACCGCAUAAGCGCACAGCAUCGCAUGAUGCAGUGUGAAAAACUCCGGUGGUAUAAGAUGGACCCGCGUUGGAUUAGCUAGUUGGUGAGGUAACGGCCCACCAAGGCGACGAUCCAUAGCCGACCUGAGAGCGUGACCGGCCACAUUGGGAAUGAGCCACGGCCCAAACUCCUACGGGGGGCAGCAGUGGGGAGUAUUACACACUGGACGAAAGCCUGAUGCAGCGACGCCGCGUGAGCGAAGAAGUAUUUCGGUAUGUAAAGCUCUAUCAGCAGGGAAGAUAAUGACGGUACCUGACUAAGAAGCACCGGCUAAAUACGUG